UACGGAGGGGGCUAGCGUUGUUCGGAAUUACUGGGCGUAAAGCGCACGUAGGCGGCUUUGUAAGUUAGAGGUGAAAGCCCGGAGCUCAACUCCGGAAUUGCCUUUAAGACUGCAUCGCUAGAAUUGUGGAGAGGUGAGUGGAAUUCCGAGUGUAGAGGUGAAAUUCGUAGAUAUUUGGAAGAACACCAGUGGCGAAGGCGACUCACUGGACACAUAUUGACGCUGAGGUGCGAAAGCGUGGGGAGCAAACAGG
RNAcentral lists this ribosomal RNA (253 nucleotides) under uncultured bacterium. Its description in RNAcentral is "partial 16S ribosomal RNA". It matches the Rfam family "Bacterial small subunit ribosomal RNA", at positions 524 to 776 of the family's 1533-position model. The record is from RNAcentral.